Molecule: non-coding RNA, 86 nt
Organism: Armillaria fumosa
Lineage: Eukaryota; Fungi; Basidiomycota; Agaricomycetes; Agaricales; Physalacriaceae
Source: the annotation of a GenBank genome assembly
UCUCUGGUAGUAUAUCAGUUAGUACACGCGCCUGUCAUAGCCGUACUGUUACGCGCGAAAGCUGGGUUCGACUCCCAGCCAGAGAG